AUGCAAGCAAGAGGUGGAGCUAUUGUUCAAGUCGUAUUCUGGCUGUCUCUUUCUAUAGAGGAUGCACAAGUGAGAGAAGAGCUGGGACUGGAAAAUGAAAGACAUUCCCUUAAGCACCAUUCCCACGGCUGCAAAAGGAGACCAGAGGAUCUUCCUGUUUCCUUUCCCCACCCCAGCACCUCCCAUCAAAAAACAAGCUGGUGCGGUGACUGCAAGUCCUGCUGUGCAUUGUCACAUCAAUUUGCACAUGAUCUACAGAAGAGAAGGGAGGCAGAGAGAAAACGACAGAUGAAAGCCUUGUGCUCAGUGCAGCUAUUUCUGAAGCAUGCCUAUCUUACAGAUGUCACGUCGCAAAAGUUCUAUUAA
This 366-nucleotide long non-coding RNA is filed under the name Numida meleagris (helmeted guineafowl). RNAcentral's name for it is "lncRNA (ENSNMEG00000007488.1)". The record is from RNAcentral. Lineage: Eukaryota; Metazoa; Chordata; Aves; Galliformes; Numididae.